Molecule: ribosomal RNA, 619 nt
Filed under: uncultured Cortinariaceae
Lineage: Eukaryota; Fungi; Basidiomycota; Agaricomycetes; Agaricales; Cortinariaceae
Description: eukaryotic LSU rRNA
Rfam family: Eukaryotic large subunit ribosomal RNA
Source: RNAcentral
GGAGGAAAAGAAACAAACAAGGAUUCCCCUAGUAACUGCGAGUGAAGCGGGAAAAGCUCAAAUUUGAAAUCUGGCGGUUUUUUGACUGUCCGACUUGUAAUCUAGAGAAGUGUUACCUGUGCUGAACCGUGUACAAGUCUCCUGGAAUGGAGCAUCAUAGAGGGUGAGAAUCCCGUCUUUGACACGGACUACCUGUACAUUGUGGUGCGCUCUCGAAGAGUCGAGUUGUUUGGGAAUGCAGCUCAAAAUGGGUGGUAAAUGCCAUCUAAAGCUAAAUAUUGGCGAGAGACCGAUAGCGAACAAGUACCGUGAGGGAAAGAUGAAAAGAACUUUGGAAAGAGAGUUAAACAGUACGUGAAAUUGCUGAAAGGGAAACGCUUGAAGUCAGACACGUUGGCUAGAAAUCAGCCCUGCUCUUGCUUGGUGUACUUUCUGGUUGAUGGGUCAGCAUCAAUUUUGACCAUUGGAUAAAGUCUCUGGGAAUGUGGCAUCUUUGGAUGUGUUAUAGCCCAGGGUCGCAUGCAGUGGUUGGGAUUGAGGAACUCAGCACGCCGCAAGGCCGGGUUUCGACCACGUUCGUGCUUAGGAUGCUGGCAUAAUGGCUUUAAUCGACCCGUUG